This 491-nucleotide ribosomal RNA is filed under the name uncultured bacterium. Its description in RNAcentral is "partial 16S ribosomal RNA". It matches the Rfam family "Bacterial small subunit ribosomal RNA", at positions 29 to 506 of the family's 1533-position model. The record is from RNAcentral.
AGUGAACGCUGGCGGUAGGCCUAACACAUGCAAGUCGAACGGCAGCACAGUAAGAGCUUGCUCUUACGGGUGGCGAGUGGCGGACGGGUGAGGAAUACAUCGGAAUCUACUUUUUCGUGGGGGAUAACGUAGGGAGACUUACGCUAAUACCGCAUACGACCUACGGGUGAAAGCAGGGGAUCUUCGGACCUUGCGCGAUUGAAUGAGCCGAUGUCGGAUUAGGUAGUUGGCGGGGUAAAGGCCCACCAAGGCGACGAUCCGUAGCUGGUCUGAGAGGAUGAUCAGCCACACUGGAACUGAGACACGGUCCAGACUCCUACGGGAGGCAGCAGUGGGGAAUAUUGGACAAUGGGCGCAAGCCUGAUCCAGCCAUACCGCGUGGGUGAAGAAGGCCUUCGGGUUGUAAAGCCCUUUUGUUGGGAAAGAAAAGCAGCAGGUUAAUACCCCGCUGUUCUGACGGUACCCAAAGAAUAAGCACCGGCUAACUUCGU